GACGAACGCUGGCGGCGCGCUUAACACAUGCAAGUCGAACGGAAAGGCCUGCUUUCCCUUGUGGAUUGCGGGUACUCGAGUGGCGAACGGGUGAGUAACACGUGAGUGAUCUGCCCCCAACUUGGGUAUAAGCCUGGGAAACUGGGUCUAAUUCCCGAUAGGACUGCAGGGUGGUGCCUGUGGUGGAAAACGAUUUUCUAGUGGUUGGGGAUGAGCUCGCGGCCUAUCAGCUUGUUGGUGGGGUAAUGGCCUACCAAGGCGGCGACGGGUAGCCGGCCUGGGAGGGUGGACGGCCACAUUGGGACUGAGAUACGGCCCAGACUCCUACGGGAGGCAGCAGUGGGGAAUAUUGCACAAUGGGCGGAAGCCUGAUGCAGCGACGCCGCGUGGGGGAUGACGGCCUUCGAGUUGUAAACUCCUUUCGACCGCGAGGAAGCCACCUGGUUGGAAGGGUGGUGACGGUAGUGGUAGAAGAAGCACCGGCUAACUACGUG
Molecule: ribosomal RNA, 494 nt
Filed under: uncultured bacterium
Lineage: Bacteria
Description: partial 16S ribosomal RNA
Rfam family: Bacterial small subunit ribosomal RNA
Source: RNAcentral